Molecule: ribosomal RNA, 510 nt
Filed under: uncultured bacterium
Lineage: Bacteria
Description: partial 16S ribosomal RNA
Rfam family: Bacterial small subunit ribosomal RNA
Source: RNAcentral
GACGAACGCUGGCGGCGUGCUUAACACAUGCAAGUCGAACGAAGAGCGAUGGAAGCUUGCUUCUAUCACUCUUAGUGGCGAACGGGUGAGUAACGCGUAAUCAGCCUGCCCUUCAGAGGGGGACAACAGUUGGAAACGACUGCUAAUACCGCAUACGAUCUAAUCUCGGCAUCGAGGAUAGAUGAAAGGUGGCCUCUACAUGUAAGCUAUCACUGAAGGAGGGGAUUGCGUCUGAUUAGCUAGUUGGAGGGGUAACGGCCCACCAAGGCGAUGAUCAGUAGCCGGUCUGAGAGGAUGAACGGCCACAUUGGGACUGAGACACGGCCCAGACUCCUACGGGAGGCAGCAGUGGGGAAUCUUCCGCAAUGGACGAAAGUCUGACGGAGCAACGCCGCGUGAGUGAUGACGGCCUUCGGGUUGUAAAGCUCUGUUAAUCGGGACGAAAGGCCUUCUUGCGAACAGUUAGAAGGAUUGACGGUACCGGAAGAGAAAGCCACGGCUAACUACGUG